UUUUUUGUCUUCUAGGGUUCCGCCAUAAGGGUCUGGUCCGAGAGAAGACAGCGGUUUAUUUGGAACCGUACACGGAGGGAUAAAAGCCCGGGAGGU
This 96-nucleotide small RNA is filed under the name Thermincola carboxydiphila JR. RNAcentral describes it as "Thermincola potens JR Guanidine-I riboswitch aptamer". It matches the Rfam family "Guanidine-I riboswitch aptamer". From Rfam's summary of the family: This family represents a conserved RNA structure found upstream of the ykkC and yxkD genes in Bacillus subtilis and related genes in other bacteria. The function of this family is unclear although it has been suggested that it may function to switch on efflux pumps and detoxification systems in response to harmful environmental molecules. RNAcentral also lists the same sequence under 1 other name. Lineage: Bacteria; Bacillati; Bacillota; Clostridia; Eubacteriales; Thermincolaceae. The record is from Rfam by way of RNAcentral.